UACAGAGGGGGCAAGCGUUGUUCGGAAUUACUGGGCGUAAAGGGCGCGUAGGCGGCCUUCUAAGUCGAACGUGAAAUCCCCGGGCUCAACCUGGGAACUGCAUUUGUGACUGCAUCGCUAGAGUACGGUAGAGGGGGAUGGAAUUCCGCGUGUAGCAGUGAAAUGCGUAGAUAUGCGGAGGAACACCGAUGGCGAAGGCAAUCCCCUGGACCUGUACUGACGCUCAUGCACGAAAGCGUGGGGAGCAAACAGG
This 253-nucleotide ribosomal RNA is filed under the name uncultured bacterium. Its description in RNAcentral is "partial 16S ribosomal RNA". It matches the Rfam family "Bacterial small subunit ribosomal RNA", at positions 524 to 776 of the family's 1533-position model. The record is from RNAcentral.